CUUUUUUUAUCGCUUGGAUGGGCUUAUAUUCCAGAUGUCGGGAAACCGACUAUGGCGUUACAGGGCUUUAUGGAAUAAGCGUUGCGGACCCGGGGGCGGUACCCGGCGCCUCCACCAAUUACCGAAACCGUUGAGGCUAGGCAUCUGGGGGCGAAAUAGGAUCGACGCGCGUGGUAAAGAUUUGGUCUGCGCCCGGCAUGGCACCACCGUUAUCGGGCUAAAUCGCUUAAUUGCGAACGACAACUUUGCGGGCGAAGCCCGUCUCGCUGCUUAGUCUGACUAAGUAAGCGCGGCCCGGGGGGCGCCGGGCAACAGAAGCCCCCCAC
This 326-nucleotide transfer-messenger RNA is filed under the name marine eukaryotic metagenome. RNAcentral's name for it is "Alphaproteobacteria transfer-messenger RNA". It matches the Rfam family "Alphaproteobacteria transfer-messenger RNA". Rfam says of the family: Bacterial tmRNA, also known as 10Sa RNA or SsrA, is named for its dual tRNA and mRNA-like properties. Its role is to liberate the mRNA from a stalled ribosome. The record is from RNAcentral.